This 405-nucleotide long non-coding RNA is filed under the name Monodelphis domestica (gray short-tailed opossum). Its description in RNAcentral is "lncRNA (ENSMODG00000047240.1)". Lineage: Eukaryota; Metazoa; Chordata; Mammalia; Didelphimorphia; Didelphidae. The record is from RNAcentral.
CAGGCAUUUUGCCUGAGAAGGUUAGAUGGGAGAGGGAGAGGCUGCUACUAGUGGAACUGGUUACCUUGAAGAACACUUUUUUCCUCCCUCCUCAGAUGCCGUGCUGUGCCAUCGUCUGUGUUGAAUCUGAAUACUGGUAUAUGUCCAAAAACACUGAGGCAGUGAGAUGGAGGGCACAAGGAACUGGCAAAAUGGGAUGGAUGAGGAAACCAAGGCCCACAGGGCAAAAUGAAUGACCCAAAGUUAUACUGAGAGUAAUAGACUUGGAAGUAGAAGUUUGUUGAUUUUCUCCACUAAAUGAAUACUUCUCUGCCUUAAAAAGCUAUUGUUGUCAGUCCUUCAUUUUUGAAGAGGACCAAGGCAUUAAAGGAUUAUGUCUUGACUUGCACAUAAAUUGGAUUUUAG